RNAcentral lists this ribosomal RNA (1512 nucleotides) under Nostoc sp. 07115_00001. Its description in RNAcentral is "bacterial SSU rRNA". The stretch from base 1 to 1165 matches the Rfam family "Bacterial small subunit ribosomal RNA", at positions 356 to 1533 of the family's 1533-position model. The record is from RNAcentral. Lineage: Bacteria; Bacillati; Cyanobacteriota; Cyanophyceae; Nostocales; Nostocaceae.
GGGGAAUUUUCCGCAAUGGGCGAAAGCCUGACGGAGCAAUACCGCGUGAGGGAGGAAGGCUCUUGGGUCGUAAACCUCUUUUCUCAGGGAAGAAAAAAAUGACGGUACCUGAGGAAUAAGCAUCGGCUAACUCCGUGCCAGCAGCCGCGGUAAUACGGAGGAUGCAAGCGUUAUCCGGAAUGAUUGGGCGUAAAGCGUCCGCAGGUGGCGAUGUAAGUCUGCUGUUAAAGAGUCUAGCUCAACUAGAUAAAAGCAGUGGAAACUACAUACGCUAGAGUACGUUCGGGGCAGAGGGAAUUCCUGGUGUAGCGGUGAAAUGCGUAGAGAUCAGGAAGAACACCAGUGGCGAAGGCGCUCUGCUAGGCCGUAACUGACACUGAGGGACGAAAGCUAGGGGAGCGAAUGGGAUUAGAUACCCCAGUAGUCCUAGCCGUAAACGAUGGAUACUAGGCGUGGCUUGUAUCGACCCGAGCCGUGCCGUAGCUAACGCGUUAAGUAUCCCGCCUGGGGAGUACGCCGGCAACGGUGAAACUCAAAGGAAUUGACGGGGGCCCGCACAAGCGGUGGAGUAUGUGGUUUAAUUCGAUGCAACGCGAAGAACCUUACCAAGGCUUGACAUGUCGCGAAUCUUCUUGAAAGGGAAGAGUGCCUUCGGGAGCGCGAACACAGGUGGUGCAUGGCUGUCGUCAGCUCGUGUCGUGAGAUGUUGGGUUAAGUCCCGCAACGAGCGCAACCCUCGUUUUUAGUUGCCAGCAUUAAGUUGGGCACUCUAGAGAGACUGCCGGUGACAAACCGGAGGAAGGUGGGGAUGACGUCAAGUCAGCAUGCCCCUUACGCCUUGGGCUACACACGUACUACAAUGCUCCGGACAGAGGGCAGCAAGCGGGCGACCGCAAGCAAAUCCCGGAAACCGGAGCUCAGUUCAGAUCGCAGGCUGCAACUCGCCUGCGUGAAGGAGGAAUCGCUAGUAAUUGCAGGUCAGCAUACUGCAGUGAAUUCGUUCCCGGGCCUUGUACACACCGCCCGUCACACCAUGGAAGCUGGUAGUGCCCGAAGUCAUUACUCCAACCUUUCGGGGGGGAGGAUGCCUAAGGCAGGACUGGUGACUGGGGUGAAGUCGUAACAAGGUAGCCGUACCGGAAGGUGUGGCUGGAUCACCUCCUUUUUAGGGAGACCUACACCCCUUACAUAUCGAAAAGCACACAGUUAAAUAGAUAGUAAGUUGGUCUAACCUUAGGUCGGUCGAGAAUUGGUAUAAAGCUUUCAAAGUAUUAAUGGUUCGGAAUAUCAAACAGAAUUAAGAUUUAGUGAGAAAUCAGCAACAUGACAAAAUUUGUCAGACUGCUGGGUUAUUUCUCAGCCAGAACCUUGAAAACUGCAUAGUAACGCGAAAAAAGCAGGCAGACAUAGAGAAUCUUUACAGAUGUUUUUGUGAAUGCAAGUGAUAAAAAGACCAAAAAUUUGAGUGGUCAAGCGAAUAAGGGCUAACGGUGGAUACCUAGGCACACAGAG